Molecule: ribosomal RNA, 478 nt
Filed under: uncultured bacterium
Lineage: Bacteria
Description: partial 16S ribosomal RNA
Rfam family: Bacterial small subunit ribosomal RNA
Source: RNAcentral
GACGAACGCUGGCGGCGUGCUUAACACAUGCAAGUCGAACGGUAAGGCCCUUCGGGGUACACGAGUGGCGAACGGGUGAGUAACACGUGGGUGAUCUGCCCUGCACUUCGGGAUAAGCCUGGGAAACUGGGUCUAAUACCGGAUAGGACCACUGCCUGCAUGGGUGGUGGGGGAAAGCUUUUGCGGUGUGGGAUGGGCCCGCGGCCUAUCGGCUUGUUGGUGGGGUGAUGGCCUACCAAGGCGACGACGGGUAGCCGGCCUGAGAGGGUGACCGGCCACACUGGGACUGAGGUACGGCCCAGACUCCUACGGGAGGCAGCAGUGGGGAAUAUUGCACAAUGGGCGCAAGCCUGAUGCAGCGACGCCGCGUGAGGGAUGACGGCCUUCGGGUUGUAAACCUCUUUCAGCACCGACGAAGCGCAAGUGACGGUAGGUGCAGAAGAAGGACCGGCCAACUACGUGCCAGCAGCCGCCGUAA